GAUGUAGCACAUUAACAAUGGCAACAAAGAGAGGCAGGUGGCUGAAUCUUCAUCCUCAGAGACCAAAUUGCUGUGGAGAUUCUGGCAAUGGAGGCUUGCUCGAAGGAAAUGGUUGGGGGUGGGAAAUGUAUCAAGCUUUGGAGAUAAGCAUUCAAGUAAAAUGUCAUGGAAGAAAAAGGCAAGUAUGUGCCCUCAAAAAUUCAACCCAAUUAGGUGUUCCAAGGAAGAACACUGUGACUUGGGAAAAAGACCCGGGGUGUGAGAUCCAAAUACGAAGCUAGUAAAAUAGUAGCAGGAGUGUGACUGGUCUUCCUGCCACUAACAAAAAUAGGUGCUGAGAAAAUCCGAAAACUUCGCUUCUCCAAGAAGCUGUUAAUAUGAUAGCAGUGAUCCAUUUUUAAUACAAGGAAAAAAGUCAGUUCUCUGCGGAUGCAAAGGCGGAGGGCUCAUUAAUCCGUGGUAAUGAACUCUGCCCGGUCCUUCCGGUCUGCUGCGGAUUGCAGCACGCCACGGCGUGCCUCAUUGCUCAAUCAAGGUUUUCGGCUGGUGUUGCAGAUCUGCCCUGCAGACCGGAACUUGGACAUCGCGGCUGACGGCGGCUGGCCUCGUGUCCCAGCAGAGCAGAGGACAGAACGCUGCGCUCACCUUGUGAAUUUUUUUUUCUUUUUUUUUUUUUUUUGCUGACUAAUGCUCUCCUUCUGUGCAAAGCGUCCUCUUCUCUCGCUUUUAAGACCACAAAGCGUAACCAUCCAUGAAUUGUUGCCAGACAUCACCAAGCCAUUCCUGGGUUUUUCCCACAGUCAUCCUGUGCUGCUUUGGAUUUUUCUCAAUGAUGAAACCAUCAGAACCAUUUGUUGUACCUUAUUUAGCAGGACCAGAUAAAAACAUAAGCCUCAGCACGAUCACAAAAGAGGUCUUUCCCAUCUGGACAUACUCUUACCUGGCACUGCUGCUCCCAGUGUUCAUCGUCACCGACUACGUCCGCUACAAGCCAGUCAUUAUCCUGCAGGGGAUCAGCUUCGUCGUCACCUGGCUGCUGCUUGUGUUUGGUCAAGGAUUAAGAGCCAUGCAGGUGCUAGAGUUCUUCUAUGGGAUGGUCUCCGCCACCGAGGUGGCCUACUAUGCCUACAUUUACAGCGUGGUCAGCCCGGAGCACUACCAGAAAGUGAGCGGCUACUGCAGGAGCGUCACCCUGGUGGCCUACACGGUGGCCUCGGUGCUGGCCCAGCUCCUGGUAUCCCUGGCCAGCCUAUCGUACUUUCACCUCAACGUCAUAUCCUUGGCCUCUGUCUGUGUGGCCCUUCUUUCCUCCCUGUUCCUACCGAUGCCUGAGAAGAGCAUGUUUUUUCAUGUACAACCCGGCAAAGGAGCUCCUCCCAAGCCACCGGGAAAGGAUGCUUUCUCAAAGGAACCACAAAAGGAUCGCAAACCGGUCUGCAAAGGAUUAGUCACCUUUUCAGGGAACCUGGGUGACGACGAUCCGCUGAACGAUCCAAAGCCGGGAAAUGUAACGUUGAGAGUUUUUGUGCAGUGGUUCCAAGAUUUGAAGGGUUGCUACUCCUCAAAGCAUCUUUUUUACUGGUCCCUGUGGUGGGCUUUUUCCACAGCAGGUUUUAACCAGGUUUUGAACUACGUUCAAAUCCUGUGGGAUUACAAGGCACCAUCCCAGAGCUCUGCAAUCUAUAAUGGGGCAGUAGAAGCCCUUGCAACGUUUGGAGGGGCUCUGGCAGCCUUCACAGCGGGCUGUGUGAAAGUCAAUUGGAACCUCGCGGGAGAGCUGGCUCUGGCGAUCUUCUCAGCGGCAGAUGCAGGUUCUCUACUUCUCAUGCAUCACACAACUAAUAUUUGGGUGUGCUAUGCCGGUUUUUUGAUAUUCAAGUCAAGUUACAUGCUUCUCAUAACGAUAGCAGCAUUUCAGAUUGCUGUUAACCUCAGUGUGGAACGCUAUGCCCUGGUAUUUGGAAUCAACACCUUCGUUGCCUUGGUGAUCCAGACUGUCAUGACUAUAGCUGUGGUUGACAACCAGGGACUGGGGCUUCCGGUCAGCAUACAGUUUUUAAUCUAUGGGAGUUAUUUCUCUGUUAUUGCUGGAAUUUUCCUAAUGAGAAGCGUUUACAUAAUCUAUUCAGCCAAAUGCAGACAGGGAAGAUGUAAUUCUACUACUGACCAGAAUCCACAUGAUCCAGGGGACUCCAUUUCUGAUAUGAACACAGUGACGCAGUUUUAGCCUGGUUUCUCCUAUCAUGGACUCAGAAGACGGACUGUUCUGAAAAUAUAUGGCGCUAAACUACAUGGCAUUUUAAUUUUUUGUCCUAGAUUAAGACACCGUAAAAGACAGAAUUAUCAUCAACACUACAUCAAAACCUCAGCUACGGGCUGGUGAGCAGGGUACAACCAAAAACUGGAGUUGACCAAGUUGAAACCAGCUAUCUUUAUGGCCUCGAUGUGAUCAAAGUUCACAAUCAGUUGACUUUCAGUAAGGGAGAUUAUCCUAGAUAAUCUAGAUGGGACCAAUCCAAUCAGUUGAAAGGCCUUAAGAGAAGAACUGAGCCUUCCCAGAAGAAGGAGAAGUUCUAUCUGUGGACAGGAGCUUCGGGUCAUGCCUGAGAGUUCUAGCCCACGCGUCCUGAUGGCCUGCCCUAUGAGUUUUGAACUUAGCCUCAUCAGCCCUGACAAUCAAGUAAGCCAACUCCUUGAAAUACAUUUUUUUACUAUAUGUGUCCACUGGUUCUGUUUCUCAGGUUGAAUCCUGAUUGAUACAGAUUUUGGUACCAGGAGUGGUUGUAGAGGACACAUCUACAAGGCCAACUUUUCUGAACUGUUUCUGGGUUUCCUGGAACUGGGUAUCUAAUCUAGUUAGGUUUUAAGCCACCAUGAAUCUGUUUCCGGUCAUAAAGAGACCACUAACAGUCAUGGCAUGAUGUAGUUUUAGACAUACAAGUGUCACCAUUGGGCCCUCCUAAUCAAAUACUACAUUAGUUUCCUAAUGAUCUUAUAACAAACUACCACAAAUGGAGAGGCAUUAAACAACAGGAACUUAUUUUCUCAAAGUUAUGAAGGCUAGAAGUCUGAAAUCAAGGUGUUGGUGAGGUCCUACUUGCUCUCUGAAAACUUGGUCUCGGGGAGGGUUCUUCCUUGCCUCUUCCUAGAUUUUAGCAGUUUCUGGCAAUUCUUAGCCUCCCUUGACUUGUAGACACAUCACUCCAGUCUGUUCUUCUGGUGUCACAUGAUGUUCUCCCUUUGUGUCUGUGUCUCUAUGUCCAAAGUCCCCUCUUAGUAUAAGGAGACCAAUCAUGUUGGAUUUAGGGUUGACCCUAAUAAAGUUACGUUAAUAGGUUCCAGAUGAGCAUAAAUUUUGGACGGGACAAUAUUCAGCCCAGUUGAAAUACCUAUAGGAGGUGAGAUUCUGGAUUGCUGUGUAUUUGUCAGUUCAGGAUGUUUUACUUAACCUGAAGAGAAUAAUGGAAUUGGCAGGCUGCUCCUGGAGCAGUACACACACACACACACACACACACA
RNA transcript from Neofelis nebulosa (Clouded leopard), 3516 nucleotides. It is a transcript of the gene named thiamine transporter 2-like, with no coding region annotated. NCBI's taxonomy places the organism in Eukaryota, Metazoa, Chordata, Mammalia, Carnivora, Felidae. The record is from RefSeq and is a predicted model, not a curated record. The transcript is spliced from 7 exons.